This is a long non-coding RNA of Eurytemora carolleeae, 303 nucleotides long. RefSeq lists it as uncharacterized. The transcript is spliced from 2 exons. The record is from RefSeq and is a predicted model, not a curated record. Lineage: Eukaryota; Metazoa; Arthropoda; Copepoda; Calanoida; Temoridae.
UCAUAAUUUUGAUCAAGAUGUUCGUUAUUACAAUUUGUUAUUAUGGAUAUUUUUCUAGUAUUAUAAAUAUUGAUAAAUUGAUUGACUAAUUGAUUGAUUGAUUGAUUGAUCGAUUAGAUAACUGAGGUGUUUCUUGACAGCUAGAUAAUAAACAAGUUAAUCAGGUUAUUGAGAUCUUCCUUGAUAUGCACGAUGACAAGUAAGGAGAAGACGACAUCCAAGAGAAUAAUUGCUUUUUGUAACAGUUUGCUUCAGCACAUUUUAACUCUUUAUUUUAUUUCAUAAAUAAAUGUAUGAUUUUAA